AGUGAACGCUGGCGGUAUGCCUAAUACAUGCAAGUCGAGCGACCAGACGGUAAGAUCUCUCCCCUGCCGUUGGCGACUGGCGGGCGAGUGAGGCAUAGAUCGGCUUCCUCUUAUACUUGGAUAACUUCGUAAAACCACUUCUACUACUACCUCAUAUAUCCUACCGCAUGGUUCAAUAGAUCUUCACACUUUUCCUGAUUCUAUUAGACGAAUCCGGGCCGGAUUAGCUGGUUGGUAAGGUAACGGCUUACCAAGGCAACGAUGCGUAGCCGACCUGAGAGGGUGAUCGGCCACACUGGAACUGAGACACGGUCCAGACUCCUACGGGAGGCAGCAGUAGGGAAUCUUCCGCAAUGGGCGAAAGCCUGACGGAGCAACACCGCGUGGGUGAUGAAGGUCUUCGGAUCGUAAAACUCUGUUAUUAGGGAAGAACAGAUGUGUAAGUAACUACGCACGUCUUGACGGUACCUAAUCAGUAAGCAACGGCUAACUACGUG
This 497-nucleotide ribosomal RNA is filed under the name uncultured bacterium. RNAcentral describes it as "partial 16S ribosomal RNA". It matches the Rfam family "Bacterial small subunit ribosomal RNA", at positions 29 to 507 of the family's 1533-position model. The record is from RNAcentral.